Long non-coding RNA from Bombyx mori (domestic silkworm), 594 nucleotides. RefSeq lists it as uncharacterized. The record is from RefSeq and is a predicted model, not a curated record. Lineage: Eukaryota; Metazoa; Arthropoda; Insecta; Lepidoptera; Bombycidae. The transcript is spliced from 2 exons.
UGUGCUGUUUUACGCAUGCAGGUGUAAUUCGGAAGUUUUGUUUACUGAGCUGAAUGAGUUGUCUCUUUGUUGAAUAGUUAUCGAAGUCCAUUAGCAAAACUAACAGACUGUAUUGUGAGUUUAUUGUGAGCGCGCACGGCCUCCAGUUACCAUCAAUCGCCAAGCGGGCCGUGAGCACGUUGAUUCUCCCACCCAUGCAAUACCAGAAAAAAUUUAACACAAACUUCCAAAGAAAUAUAGUUCCUAAAAGAUGCGUAGAAUUUUGGAGUUCAGAGAUUUAUUAGAUAAAUUAGAGACGAUAAAAUAUAACAAAAGUUUCGGUUUUAAUUUUGUAUUGUGAUUAUUGUCUUGACUAGAAUUAGGUGUGCGUAAUCCGAUAUGCGAGUAGCCAUAGUGCGGACAUUUAGGAAUCUGAAGCAUUAAAAUAUAUUUGAACAUAAUAAUAUUAUGUUUUCUUGAACACAAAAAUUCUGACAGAAAAUACCUAUAAAAUACUAUAAAAAAGUAAGAAUAGUUCCCCUGUUACUUCUAAAACUACACCGAAUACACUAUUAAUGUAUAAAAUUAUACUAAAAAUAUAAUUUACUAUAUUGA